UACGUAGGGUGCAAGCGUUGUCCGGAAUUAUUGGGCGUAAAGAGCUCGUAGGCGGUCUGUCGCGUCGGCUGUGAAAUCCCGAGGCUCAACCUCGGGUCUGCAGUCGAUACGGGCAAACUAGAGUAUUGGCAGGGGAGACUGGAAUUCCUGGUGUAGCGGUGAAAUGCGCAGAUAUCAGGAGGAACACCGGUGGCGAAGGCGGGUCUCUGGGCAAUAACUGACGCUGGAGGAGCGAAAGCGUGGGGAGCGAACAGG
Molecule: ribosomal RNA, 255 nt
Filed under: uncultured bacterium
Lineage: Bacteria
Description: partial 16S ribosomal RNA
Rfam family: Bacterial small subunit ribosomal RNA
Source: RNAcentral